Orbicella faveolata is the source of this 689-nucleotide long non-coding RNA. Lineage: Eukaryota; Metazoa; Cnidaria; Anthozoa; Scleractinia; Merulinidae. The record is from RefSeq and is a predicted model, not a curated record.
CUUUUGUAGUGUGUAGAGCCGAUGUUGAGCCGUGCUUUUGCCCUCGAAAACAAAAUUUCUGUGGCACCGUGAGAGGGCACGAGUUCGGUGGAGCAUGAUAAAUGAAUAUUGACAAGCACGGCCGUUUCAUAAUGAUGAUUUGGCUACGCUGCGUUUAGGUCAGUCACAACGAUCCAUUCCACGAAAUAUGGAGCGAAAUACAACGCAAAGAUCAUGCUGACAACAUGAUGGUGUUAUGUGGCAACGCGCAGAUUUUACCGUCGGAAAACCACAUAUCGAAAGGCACACAGAAGAGGAGGGAAUCUGGUCUACAGAUAAAACGUCACGAUCGGUAGCUGGUGAAAUCCCGUGGUCUUUCUUUAAAACCCUUGGAGCGAGAGUGACUAGAUAUCAGAUUUAUCGCCCGAUUGAAAAGAAUCCACCGUGUCCAUCUGGUUUGUUCCUUGUGCUGUCAGGAGAUGAGGCGGGUGCUUAAUCAUGGCAGAAAGUUGCGAGUAUUGUUACUUCUCAUAGCAUUAUGUUCUGUGUUCCUAAUAACGUACCAAGGAGACGUUGUAUGGUUUUCCGAUCGUGGUGAGUAUAUACCGGUAUACUGCGCGUGCGCAACUGCAAAUCUCAAGUAACAAUUAAAUCUGCUCUAUUUUGCUGAAGUAUGAAGUGUAAUACUAAGUUGAAAAAUGAUUGGAAAU